UACGUAGGUGGCAAGCGUUGUCCGGAAUUAUUGGGCGUAAAGCGCGCGCAGGCGGUUUUGUAAGUCUGAUGUUAAAACCCCGGGCUCAACCUCGGUUCGCAUUGGAAACUGUGUAACUUGAGUGCAGAAGAGGAAAGUGGUAUUCCACGUGUAGCGGUGAAAUGCGUAGAUAUGUGGAGGAACACCAGUGGCGAAGGCGACUUUCUGGUCUGUAACUGACGCUGAGGCGCGAAAGCGUGGGGAGCAAACAUG
RNAcentral lists this ribosomal RNA (252 nucleotides) under uncultured bacterium. Its description in RNAcentral is "partial 16S ribosomal RNA". It matches the Rfam family "Bacterial small subunit ribosomal RNA", at positions 524 to 776 of the family's 1533-position model. The record is from RNAcentral.